UACUCAAAACAAUCUUACUUCCUAUCUCUGUCAGAAUGAAAUUCACUCUUUAACAUAACUUACAACACCCUAUUUAUUCCAGAAGCGCUGGAAUUAUCUGCAAACUAAGACAACAUGUGGUAACAAACUGAACGCAGGAGUUUACAAGACUUGCAAAAUGUAAAACAAUGUGACUUGUCACACUAAUUCCUGUGUAAGAGCAUAGGCUCUGACAGCAGACAACAGCAUUGUAUCCACUCUGCCAUUUAUUAGUUCUGGACACUUGGGUCAUAUAUUUUAACCUCAAAUGUGCCUGUGCCUCAGUUUACUCUACUGUAAAAUGGGCAUAAGUAUCUGUCCUAUAAGGAUGUUGUGGCUUUGCAGUUUAUGGGAUCUAUUAGGAAGAUGCUCCCAGAGGGGUCAAAUGUUCCCAGCAGUGGCAUGGCAGAGCACCAAUGAUGGCAGAUGCUCAGAUAUGGCUGGGCUCGGUGGCUCACGCCUGUAAUCCCAGCACUUUGGGAGGCCAAGGCGGGCAGAUCAUGAGGUCAGGAGUUCGAGACCAGCCUGGCCAACAUAGUGAAACCCCGUCUCUACUAAAAAUACAAAAAAUUAGCCAGGCUUGGUGGCGGGCGCCUGUAAUCCUAGCUACUCGAGAGGCUGAGGCAGGAGAAUCGCUUGAACCAGAGAGGCAGAGGUUGCAGCGAGCGGAGAUCGCACCACUGCAC
Molecule: long non-coding RNA, 704 nt
Filed under: Homo sapiens (human)
Lineage: Eukaryota; Metazoa; Chordata; Mammalia; Primates; Hominidae
Description: non-protein coding lnc-ST7L-5:3
Source: RNAcentral